AUUGAACGCUGGCGGCAGGCCUAACACAUGCAAGUCGAGCGGAUGAAGGGAGCUUGCUCCUGGAUUCAGCGGCGGACGGGUGAGUAAUGCCUAGGAAUCUGCCUGGUAGUGGGGGAUAACGUCCGGAAACGGGCGCUAAUACCGCAUACGUCCUGAGGGAGAAAGUGGGGGAUCUUCGGACCUCACGCUAUCAGAUGAUCCUAGGUCGGAUUAGCUAGUUGGUGGGGUAAAGGCCUACCAAGGCGACGAUCCGUAACUGGUCUGAGAGGAUGAUCAGUCACACUGGAACUGAGCCACGGUCCAGACUCCUACGGGAGGCAGCAGUGGGGAAUAUUGGACAAUGGGCGAAAGCCUGAUCCAGCCAUGCCGCGUGUGUGAAGAAGGUCUUCGGAUUGUAAAGCACUUUAAGUUGGGAGGAAGGGCAGUAAGUUAAUACCUUGCUGUUUUGACGUUACCAACAGAAUAAGCACCGGCUAACUUCGUG
Molecule: ribosomal RNA, 484 nt
Filed under: uncultured bacterium
Lineage: Bacteria
Description: partial 16S ribosomal RNA
Rfam family: Bacterial small subunit ribosomal RNA
Source: RNAcentral